This is an RNA transcript of Prunus persica (peach), 3290 nucleotides long. It is a transcript of the gene named disease resistance protein RPM1, with no coding region annotated. Lineage: Eukaryota; Viridiplantae; Streptophyta; Magnoliopsida; Rosales; Rosaceae. The transcript has 2 exons. The record is from RefSeq and is a predicted model, not a curated record.
CACAUGCAUGGGAGAACGCCCAACAAUUGUUUAAUCAACGAUUGUCCCAACCAUGGUUAUGCUUAACAUCGCUUUCUAUUAUUAAUUGAUUCUCUCUCUCUCUCUCUCUCUCUCUCUCUCUCUCUCUCUCUCUCUCGUGCAUCAGAGCCCAACCAUGGCAGAAUGCUUUUUCGAAAAUGCAUAUACAAAUCAUUGCUCCCCAGAUUCAAUUUCAGAUAUGUUCUUUUGAUUAAGGUUAUACCAAAAUAAGGCCAUUAUGGCGUCUGCUGCAACAGACCUCUUCCUUGGCAAAUUUGUUGCCAUUCUAGAGAGUGAAGCAGCCUCCAUAGCGGGUGUUCGUGAUCAAGUUGAUGAAAUUAAGCAGGAGCUUGUAUUCAUGAAAUCCUUCUUAGAGGAUGCUGACGGCGGAGAGCAGGCACACACACAAGUAGAGAAAGCGUGGGUCGCAAGCGUUCGAGACUUGGCCAAUGAUGUUGAAAACACCAUUGAUGAGUUCAUGUAUCGCGUGUACGAGCAACGAAAUGGUGGUCGAUUUUCCAGGUGGUUCCACAAAACCAUUCACUUUCCAAAGCACCUUUGGUAUAAGCGUCGAAUAGCCAACAAGUUACAGAAAAUCGCGGUGGCGAUUAGAGCUAUUCCGGAGAGAAAUCAGAGAUAUCAUGGUGCUGCAGCUGUAGAAGUAAAAAGUACUUCUGAGGAUAUUCGAAGAUGGGUGCAGAACCAAGCGGAGUCUUCUCUUUAUCAGAAGGAGGAUGAACUUGUCGGGAUUGAAGGCGAUAAGAACAUGUUACUGGGAUGGCUGAUGGAUGAAGCGAAGCACCAAAUUGCUGUGUCCGUGGUCGGGAUGGGAGGAUCAGGGAAGACAACUCUAGUUGCAAGAACCUUCAAAGAUGACAUUGUAAAGAGAGAUUUCGAAUGCUAUGCAUGGAUUACUGUUUCCCAGUCUUAUGUGAUUGAAGACUUACUUAGAAGAUUGAUCAAAGAAUUCCACAAAGGAAAGAGGGAAGAGGUCCCUGCAGACAUAAAUGCCAUGAGUUAUAACGAAUUGCUGGAGAUUUUGGUGAACUACUUGGAGACUAAAAGGUACCUAAUUGUAUUGGAUGACGUGUGGGAUGUCCACCUUUGGGACAAAAUAAGGUUUUCAUUUCCAGAUAAACAACUUGGAAGUCGAGUCAUGCUUACAACUCGAAGAGAAGACAUAGCAUCCUCUUCUUUUGGAGUUGAAAGCCAUGUUCACAAGAUUCAACCGUUGGAAAGGGGUGAUGCGUGGGAGCUUUUCAGCAUGAAAGCAUUCUCAAGUUAUCAGAACAAAUCUUGUUCACCUGAACUUUUGCCUUUAGCUCGGGAACUUGUGGAAAAGUGUGAAGGCCUACCACUAGCGAUCGUAGCCUUAAGUGGUCUCAUGUCUUCUAAGAAGUCACUUACAGAGUGGAGCACAGUCUACAAUAGCUUAAAUUGGCAUCUAACAAAUAAUUCUUUGUUAGAACCUAUGAAGAUGCGCAUCUUGUUGUUUAGUUUUAAUGAUUUGCCAUACCGAUUGAAGCAAUGCUUUCUAUCUUGUUCACUUUUCCCUGAAGAUCAUGUGAUCGUAAAUAAUAGGCUCAUCACAUUGUGGAUCGCUGAAGGAUUUGUUGAACAUGUCGAAGGGCUCACGCCAGAAGAAGUUGCAAGGGGCUAUCUUAUGGAACUCAUUUUUCGUAACAUGCUACAGCAAAGGUUUCUAGGAUCCCUCCCAGCAUGUAAGAUGCACGAUCUUUUGCGGGAGAUUGCUCUGUCUAUAGCAAAAGAAGAAAAGUUUUGCGUUGUACAUGAUGGGGGUGAAACAGUAGAAGAAACUGGAGCACUCCGUUUGUCAAUUCAAACAACUAAUCGAGAAAUUGGAUCAUGCACAGGUAUAUCACGGCUUCGUUCAUUUCUCGUCUUUGCCACUGGCGUAUCCUCAUUCUCUUUCUCAAAUAAACUACCUUUUGACCUUAAAUUGUUGAAGGUUCUAGAUUUGGAGGAUGUCCCACUUGAUUAUCUGCCAGACAAUCUAACGUCCUUAUUUAAUUUAAAAUAUUUAAAUUUGAGGGGAACUCCAAUUACUGAGCUUCCAGAAUCCAUUGGACAGCUCCGCAACCUUCAGACCUUGAACAUCACGCUGACAAAAAUUGUGGCACUUCCAAGAGGGAUUUCCAAGUUGCUGAACUUACGCCAUUUACUUGUGGGCCGGUUCUUUUCCAGAAAGAUAAUUGGGGUAAGAAUACCAUCAAGUAUUAGUAAGAUGAAGAAAUUGCAACGUUUGGCAUUACAAAUGUGAAAGAAAGAGACGAGGAGGACCUAUGUGCCUCAAUUCAAGAGAUGAAGGUCCUUUCCUGCUUGCAUUUAUCUGUAGCAGAUGGAGAGGAAUUUCUUCGAGUUGACGCAUUGUCUUCACCGCCUCCCUACCUUGACAGACUUGAAUUGAGCGGAAAACUGGAAAAGGUACCACAUUGGUUUUGUUCACUCCACUCUCUCGCAUAUUUGAAUCUGUCUGGGUCCAGACUUGAAGAAGAUUUACUACCUCAUAUUGAAGCAUUGCCCUCUCUACGUUCUCUUUGGCUUGAUAAUGCCUCUGUUAGAAAGGAGUUAUGUUUCAACAGAGGCUUUGUGAAGCUUCGGCAUUUGUGGGUUUGGGAUCUCGCAUUAUUAAAUAUGAUAACUAUCGAAAAAGGGGCGAUGCCAAAUCUCGAGUUCAUAAGAAUUCAUGAUUGCUUGACAUUAGAAACAUUGCCACAGGGUAUUGAGGACCUUACUAAUCUACAAGGAUACAGAUUUGAUAAUGCUUCAGAGAAGUUUAAAGAGUCCAUAAAAGAAGGAGGUGUGGAUCAUCCAAGGAUGCUACUCGUCGACGAGAGAUGUAAGAAAUAUGCAAACAAGUCCUGGGAUUGAAGAUUUUACCCAUGAGUUUGGGGGUGGGAACUUGUUCGCCUUGUUUUGACCCCAAGAGUGAUCUAGAUUGGCUUCUUAUUUGCUCUUUUGAAAAUCAAACAAUACCCAAGUUGAUGUUCAUAAAAUUGCAGUUGAUGUUUUUGUGUGCGUUUUAAUUUGCAUGUAAUAAAAUUCGAGUUUGCAUCUGUCACUUCAGCAAUUGGCAGAUGUAUGUGGAUGAUUAGCUUUUAAGAUUUGGACCAUGGAUUCUUUUAUAUUCGGUGUGUUUGUACUUUCUUCUAUGUUAAUUGUAUUUGUACUUUCAGGUUUUUUUCUAUGGGGUCAGAUUUUGUACUUUCAGAUUGGCUAAAUAAAUAAUACAGAAUCUUAAUUGCUUUCCA